GAUGAACGCUGGCGGCGUGCCUAAUACAUGCAAGUCGAGCGAACAGACGAGGAGCUUGCUCCUCUGACGUUAGCGGCGGACGGGUGAGUAACACGUGGAUAACCUACCUAUAAGACUGGGAUAACUUCGGGAAACCGGAGCUAAUACCGGAUAAUAUAUUGAACCGCAUGGUUCAAUAGUGAAAGACGGUUUUGCUGUCACUUAUAGAUGGAUCCGCGCCGCAUUAGCUAGUUGGUAAGGUAACGGCUUACCAAGGCAACGAUGCGUAGCCGACCUGAGAGGGUGAUCGGCCACACUGGAACUGAGACACGGUCCAGACUCUUACGGGAGGCAGCAGUAGGGAAUCUUCCGCAAUGGGCGAAAGCCUGACGGAGCAACGCCGCGUGAGUGAUGAAGGUCUUCGGAUCGUAAAACGCUGUUAUUAGGGAAGAACAAAUGUGUAAGUAACUAUGCACGUCUUGACGGUACCUAAUCAGAAAGCCACGGCUAACUACGU
RNAcentral lists this ribosomal RNA (496 nucleotides) under uncultured bacterium. RNAcentral describes it as "partial 16S ribosomal RNA". It matches the Rfam family "Bacterial small subunit ribosomal RNA", at positions 28 to 506 of the family's 1533-position model. The record is from RNAcentral.